RNAcentral lists this ribosomal RNA (461 nucleotides) under uncultured Mollicutes bacterium. Its description in RNAcentral is "bacterial SSU rRNA". It matches the Rfam family "Bacterial small subunit ribosomal RNA", at positions 918 to 1382 of the family's 1533-position model. The record is from RNAcentral. Lineage: Bacteria; Bacillati; Mycoplasmatota; Mollicutes.
AACCCGCACAAGCGGUGGAGUAUGUUGUUUAAUUCGAGGAUACACGAAGAACCUUACCAGGUCUUGACAUACCAUUGACAGGUCUAGAGAUAGACUCUCCUUCGGGCAAUGGAUACAGGUGGUGCAUGGUUGUCGUCAGCUCGUGCCGUGAGGUGUUGGGUUAAGUCCCGCAACGAGCGCAACCCUCAUUGUUAGUUACUACCAUUCAGUUGAGGACUCUAAUGAGACUGCCAACGACAAGUUGGAGGAAGGUGGGGAUGACGUCAAAUCAUCAUGCCCUUUAUGACCUGGGCUACAAACGUACUACAAUGGCCAAUACAAAGAGAUGCGAAGCGGUGACGUGGAGCGAACCUCAGAAAGUUGGUCUCAGUUCAGAUUGAAGUCUGCAACUCGACUUCAUGAAGGCGGAAUCGCUAGUAAUCGCGGGUCAGCAGACCGCGGUGAAUACGUUCCCGGGUUUU